Molecule: long non-coding RNA, 912 nt
Filed under: Setaria italica (foxtail millet)
Lineage: Eukaryota; Viridiplantae; Streptophyta; Magnoliopsida; Poales; Poaceae
Description: long non-coding RNA (SITA_LNC000532)
Source: RNAcentral
AAAUUGAGUGGGAAUUAUAAUGCAAGUACAUAUAUAUAAAACUGAAAAGAAACAGCCAUGGUAAAAUCGAAAAAAACCCCACUAUCUACAUUAUAUACGUAGUACAUCUUGACCAUACGCACAUACAGGUGUAUGCACAGAUACACACAACACAAAUGUUGAGAUCGACGUAAUAUCCACAGUUAGUAGACUUCCACGUUCCAUUGCUCUCCCUUCUUCAGCUGCUUCUUGUACUCGAACCAGUCAAUUCCUAACAUUGUGCAAGCCAAGCAGCAAAAUUCAGCAUCAUUUGGACAUCAAGACCUUCCACACAAAAAGGUUCAGAAGAUUGUAUACAUACCGUCUUUCUCAGCCAGUGUCACCAUGAUCUCAUCGAUACCCUUCUCCAUGCCUUUCAACCCACACAUGUAGACGUAGGUGUUGUCCUUCUUCAGAAGCUCCCACAGCUCCUCCUUGUAUUCCGCCAUCCGGGUCUGGAUGUACAUCUUCUCUCCCUGAGCGUUGGUCUGCUCUCUGCUGACAGCGUAGUCCACGCGGAAAUUAUUCGGCGCUUUCGUCUUCAUCUUCUCAAACUCCUAAAUAAUGUUUCGCAAAAUGCAGCGCAGCUAUGGAGGUUAAGUAUCACAUGAAAAGGAAAAAGAUUAGCUUGUGAUGAAGUGCUCAUGAAAACAGCAGAGAUCGAUGUACUGACAUCCGGGUAGAGCAGCGAACUGCUCGUUGGAACUCCCAAGAAGAGCCAUGCAAGACCGUUGAACUGCACAAGAAUGUAAUUCAAACUUGUUGCUUCCAUGUUCACCGUGGAUUUUAGUUGGCGAUAUGAAGAUUUUGAUACGUACCUGGUAGUCGUCAUGCUUCUCGAAGAACAUCUUCCACAGGAAUGAGCGGAAUGGAGCAAUACCGGUACCGGUCGCA